RNAcentral lists this long non-coding RNA (441 nucleotides) under Physcomitrium patens. RNAcentral describes it as "long non-coding RNA (PPAT_LNC013597)". Lineage: Eukaryota; Viridiplantae; Streptophyta; Bryopsida; Funariales; Funariaceae. The record is from RNAcentral.
AUCACAAAAUUUCACAUAUACUUAGAAAACCUAUUUAACCAAGUAUUGACAAAAUUUGAACUGUAGAUGUGACACCAAUUUUAUGAAUUAGUCAAGGAUCCUAGCUCUAAUUUAAUUGUAUAAAUCUCAAAUUGCCAAUACAAACCUUAAUUUUCAACAACAAUUGCUAAGUCCCAAAAUCUCCUACCAAAAUCAAUCUUAUGUCUCUAAAAAAAGCUUCAAUCUAGCUCUCAAAUUCUAAUCUCUAAUCUUUGAAUGAAAACCUAUUUUACCCUAGGCAGUCAUUUUAGUGGCUAGAGGUCUGAUUUUGACCCAGUCUCACAAACAGUUGACCCUCAGGUAUCAAUCUAACCUAUCUUAAGGAUUUUUUAGUCCAAUCCAAUCCUUAUUUUACUCUUAGUAUCAACUAUACUAAUUAUUUAUCUCUUUUAACUUGAUUUU